CCUACGGGAGGCAGCAGUGAGGAAUUUUGCGCACUGCUCGUAAGAGUGACGCAGCGACGCCGCGUGAAUGACGAAGGCCUUCGGGUCGUAACGUUCUUUCGACAGGGAAGAAAAUGCCUAUAAGUAACUGUGUCUGUCUUGACGGUACCUGUAUAAGCAGCCCCGGCUAACUCCGUGCCAGCAGCCGCGGUAAUACGGAGGGGGCGAGCGUUGUUCGGAGUGACUGGGCGUAAAGAGCCCGUAGGCGGUGUUGUAAGUCAUUAGUCAAAGACUAGAGCUCAACUUUAGUAAGGCUAGUGAUACUAUAAUACUAGAGUAUCAGAGAGGAUUGCAGAAUUCCUGGUGUAGCGGUGAAAUGCGUAGAUAUCAGGAGGAAUACCGUUAGCGAAGGCGGCAAUCUGGCUGGAAACUGACGCUGAGGUGCGAAAGCGUGGGUAGCAAACAGGAUUAGAUACCCCUGUAGUC
Molecule: ribosomal RNA, 465 nt
Filed under: uncultured bacterium
Lineage: Bacteria
Description: partial 16S ribosomal RNA
Rfam family: Bacterial small subunit ribosomal RNA
Source: RNAcentral